CCAACGGCCCUCUUUAGGGCCACAAGUACUCAAGAAUCCAUCAUUU
This is a non-coding RNA of Caenorhabditis briggsae, 46 nucleotides long. Lineage: Eukaryota; Metazoa; Nematoda; Chromadorea; Rhabditida; Rhabditidae. The record is from Rfam.